This 297-nucleotide unclassified non-coding RNA is filed under the name Glomeromycetes sp. RNAcentral's name for it is "partial internal transcribed spacer 2". The stretch from base 1 to 71 matches the Rfam family "5.8S ribosomal RNA", at positions 84 to 154 of the family's 154-position model. Lineage: Eukaryota; Fungi; Glomeromycota; Glomeromycetes. The record is from RNAcentral.
GUGAAUCAUCAAAUUUUUGAACGCAAAUUGCGCUUCCUAGCAUCCCGGGAAGUAUGCCUGUUUUGGGGUCAUUAUUAACAAAAAAAUCGGUUUGGUUGCAAAUUGUGUCGUUUCCGGAGUUUGGUCUUUCUUAACUUUUUUGGUUAAGGGGCUUAAAAUUUACCUUUUUUGCGCAUUUUUAGUCUUACAUAAAUUUUUUUUUUUUUAUUCUUCUAUUCUUAAUGCCAAAAUCUUAUUAGAUGCGAUCACAUCGUGUUGUUUCGUUUCCAUAAAAUUUUCAUGAUUUGACCUCAAAUC